Hermetia illucens (black soldier fly) is the source of this 347-nucleotide long non-coding RNA. RefSeq lists it as uncharacterized. The record is from RefSeq and is a predicted model, not a curated record. The transcript is spliced from 2 exons. NCBI's taxonomy places the organism in Eukaryota, Metazoa, Arthropoda, Insecta, Diptera, Stratiomyidae.
CUUCUCAUCCACGAUGACGGGCAACUGAAUUGUAGGAAAUAAGACUUCACCACGGUUCUUGACCGCAUCGCAUCCGGUAAAAAGAUGAAAAAAAAGGGGAACGGUGUCAUAAAACUACCCUUCAUAGUGUUUUCGCAUGAAAUAAUUUUUACAGCAAAGUCCUUACUGCACUACAACUAUUUACCUUCUGACUUUCAAAAGAAGUGAAUAAAUGUUAUAUAAAGUUAGCAAUGUUUAAACCUAGUAUGGAGCCUGAAUUCGCACCCUACGGAAAUACCUACAGGUAUUACAUACAUUUUUUUAUUAAUUCUAUUUUCUGAAAAUCUAAUUAAAUUCAGCUUUUUGUU